Molecule: transfer RNA, 73 nt
Filed under: Acidimicrobiaceae bacterium
Lineage: Bacteria; Bacillati; Actinomycetota; Acidimicrobiia; Acidimicrobiales; Acidimicrobiaceae
Description: tRNA-Gln
Rfam family: tRNA
About the family: Transfer RNA (tRNA) molecules are approximately 80 nucleotides in length. Their secondary structure includes four short double-helical elements and three loops (D, anti-codon, and T loops).
Source: RNAcentral
UGGCGGGUAGUUCAAUUGGCAGAACGCUGGACUUUGGAUCCAGAAGUUGCAGGUUCGAUCCCUGCCCCGCCAG